AGAGUUUGAUCCUGGCUCAGGAUGAACGCUGGCGGCGUGCCUAAUACAUGCAAGUCGAGCGAACGGACGAGAAGCUUGCUUCUCUGAUGUUAGCGGCGGACGGGUGAGUAACACGUGGAUAACCUACCUAUAAGACUGGGAUAACUUCGGGAAACCGGAGCUAAUACCGGAUAAUAUUUUGAACCGCAUGGUUCAAAAGUGAAAGACGGUCUUGCUGUCACUUAUAGAUGGAUCCGCGCUGCAUUAGCUAGUUGGUAAGGUAACGGCUUACCAAGGCAACGAUGCAUAGCCGACCUGAGAGGGUGAUCGGCCACACUGGAACUGAGACACGGUCCAGACUCCUACGGGAGGCAGCAGUAGGGAAUCUUCCGCAAUGGGCGAAAGCCUGACGGAGCAACGCCGCGUGAGUGAUGAAGGUCUUCGGAUCGUAAAACUCUGUUAUUAGGGAAGAACAUAUGUGUAAGUAACUGUGCACAUCUUGACGGUACCUAAUCAGAAAGCCACGGCUAACUACGUGCCAGCAGCCGCGGUAAUACGUAGGUGGCAAGCGUUAUCCGGAAUUAUUGGGCGUAAAGCGCGCGUAGGCGGUUUUUUAAGUCUGAUGUGAAAGCCCACGGCUCAACCGUGGAGGGUCAUUGGAAACUGGAAAACUUGAGUGCAGAAGAGGAAAGUGGAAUUCCAUGUGUAGCGGUGAAAUGCGCAGAGAUAUGGAGGAACACCAGUGGCGAAGGCGACUUUCUGGUCUGUAACUGACGCUGAUGUGCGAAAGCGUGGGGAUCAAACAGGAUUAGAUACCCUGGUAGUCCACGCCGUAAACGAUGAGUGCUAAGUGUUAGGGGGUUUCCGCCCCUUAGUGCUGCAGCUAACGCAUUAAGCACUCCGCCUGGGGAGUACGACCGCAAGGUUGAAACUCAAAGGAAUUGACGGGGACCCGCACAAGCGGUGGAGCAUGUGGUUUAAUUCGAAGCAACGCGAAGAACCUUACCAAAUCUUGACAUCCUUUGACAACUCUAGAGAUAGAGCCUUCCCCUUCGGGGGACAAAGUGACAGGUGGUGCAUGGUUGUCGUCAGCUCGUGUCGUGAGAUGUUGGGUUAAGUCCCGCAACGAGCGCAACCCUUAAGCUUAGUUGCCAUCAUUAAGUUGGGCACUCUAAGUUGACUGCCGGUGACAAACCGGAGGAAGGUGGGGAUGACGUCAAAUCAUCAUGCCCCUUAUGAUUUGGGCUACACACGUGCUACAAUGGACAAUACAAAGGGCAGCGAAACCGCGAGGUCAAGCAAAUCUCAUAAAGUUGUUCUCAGUUCGGAUUGUAGUCUGCAACUCGACUACAUGAAGCUGGAAUCGCUAGUAAUCGUAGAUCAGCAUGCUACGGUGAAUACGUUCCCGGGUCUUGUACACACCGCCCGUCACACCACGAGAGUUUGUAACACCCGAAGCCGGUGGAGUAACCUUUUAGGAGCUAGCCGUCGAAGGUGGGACAAAUGAUUGGGGUGAAGUCGUAACAAGGUAGCCGUAUCGGAAGGUGCGGCUGGAUCACCU
This 1540-nucleotide ribosomal RNA is filed under the name Staphylococcus aureus M1291. Its description in RNAcentral is "16S ribosomal RNA". It matches the Rfam family "Bacterial small subunit ribosomal RNA". The record is from RNAcentral. Lineage: Bacteria; Bacillati; Bacillota; Bacilli; Caryophanales; Staphylococcaceae.